Molecule: unclassified non-coding RNA, 1022 nt
Filed under: Hevea brasiliensis (rubber tree)
Lineage: Eukaryota; Viridiplantae; Streptophyta; Magnoliopsida; Malpighiales; Euphorbiaceae
Source: RNAcentral
GUUCGGUUCGAACCGAAUGCUCACUCUUUACAGAAAGCAAAUUUACUAUUCAUAUAUGGUAGUAAAUUCUCUGAUUAUGUGCUUAUUUUGAUAAUUCCUUUCCAAGGUGUCAAAAUUAUUGAUCAACGAAUUUUAAUUCUCAGUCUUUUCAAAUCUGUGUUAAAAAGAUGGGAAUGGAUGAUAUUAUCAACAUUAGGUUGUAUGGGGAGCCAAAUCAACAGAAAUAAGGUAUCUCAAGAUUGGUUUUCUUGAUAAUGAACCUUGUAGUGUUAUGACCAAUUUUUUGUUCUCAAUUUAUUAAAACGAAGAUGACCAUGUGAAGUCAUUACAAUACCAUGUGAAGUCAUUACAAUUUUUUAUUAAAACUAAGAUGACAAUAAGUUUGCUUGGAUUUGCAUGGUGAGUGAGCUAGGAAUUAUCUCUCAUCCAUUUUGACCUUCAGUAAACUUAGUAGUUUGAAACUGAACCAUAUAAAUGCUUACUUAUGACAAAAGCCAAUAAUGCUGUCUAGGUUGACGAAAAUGAGAAGGUAGUUUAAGGAAUGAGUUGAUGAUAAAUUUCAAAUUGAUCUUUCUCUUCCCUUCCUUGUCUUUUUGAGUGCAUUACAGACGCUCUCAAUUUCAAAUCGCAUUGUAGAUUUGCCUUAUUGAAGGGCUUUUUUUUCUUGAUAAAACUAACUAUUCAAUCAAGAGUCUGUUUUCUUCUAAGUUUUCCUAAUUUGUGAAGACAAUUUAACUUUUGGCAGCUAAGAUAAGAAGCUUAUGAUCCUUUUCUGUUUUGGCAGUUUUUAGACACAAUAAAUGGGCAACGGGGAUCUAAAAGGCAAUGCUUGCGGAGGACACUGACAGGCCCUUGGUAGAGCUCAUAUUAUUGAUUGUGGACAGUAGUAGAGCUUGAGAAUGCAGUCUUCGCCAUUUGUGUGUAGGGAUUGGAGGGUGCAGCUUUCACCUGCAUCUUAUACUUUGAAGGAUAGGUAGCUGUAUGUAUAGGUACAGAGAGUUGAGUUGUAAAUUAUGACUUGA